GACAGAGGUGCCAAGCGUUAGGCGGAAUCACUGGGCUUAAAGCGUGUGUAGGCGGAUCGUUAAGUACCUUGUGAAAGCCCACGGCUCAACCGUGGAGGGUCAUUGGAAACUGGGGGACUUGAGUGCAGAAGAGGAAAGCGGAAUUCCACGUGUAGCGGUGAAAUGCGUAGAGAUGUGGAGGAACACCAGUGGCGAAGGCGGCUUUCUGGUCUGUAACUGACGCUGAGGCGCGGAAGCGUGGGGAGCAAACAGG
This 253-nucleotide ribosomal RNA is filed under the name uncultured bacterium. RNAcentral describes it as "partial 16S ribosomal RNA". It matches the Rfam family "Bacterial small subunit ribosomal RNA", at positions 524 to 776 of the family's 1533-position model. The record is from RNAcentral.